GUGGGGAAUCUUGCGCAAUGGGCGAAAGCCUGAUGCAGCCAUGCCGCGUGAAUGAUGAAGGUCUUAGGAUUGUAAAAUUCUUUCACCGGGGACGAUAAUGACGGUACCCGGAGAAGAAGCCCCGGCUAACUUCGUGCCAGCAGCCGCGGUAAUACGAAGGGGGCUAGCGUUGCUCGGAAUUACUGGGCGUAAAGGGCGCGUAGGCGGACAGUUUAGUCAGAGGUGAAAGCCCAGGGCUCAACCUUGGAAUUGCCUUUGAUACUGGCUGUCUUGAGUACGGGAGAGGUGAGUGGAACUCCGAGUGUAGAGGUGAAAUUCGUAGAUAUUCGGAAGAACACCAGUGGCGAAGGCGACUCACUGGCCCGUUACUGACGCUGAGGCGCGAAAGCGUGGGGAGCAAACAGGAUUAGAUACCCUUGUAGUCC
RNAcentral lists this ribosomal RNA (425 nucleotides) under uncultured bacterium. RNAcentral's name for it is "partial 16S ribosomal RNA". It matches the Rfam family "Bacterial small subunit ribosomal RNA", at positions 354 to 796 of the family's 1533-position model. The record is from RNAcentral.